UUUCGCAAUGCCCGAAAGGGUGACGAAGCGACGCCGCGUGUGGGAAGAAGGCCUUCGGGUUGUAAACCACUGUCGGGAGUUAAGAAAUACAAGGAUAUUAAUAGUGUCUUUGUUUGACUAAGGCUCCGGAGGAAGCCACGGCUAACUCUGUGCCAGCAGCCGCGGUAAUACAGAGGCGGCAAGCGUUGUUCGGAAUUAUUGGGCGUAAAGAGCACGUAGGCGGCUAUGUAAGUCGGUUGUGAAAGCCUUCCGCUCAACGGAAGAACAGCAUCCGACACUACAUGGCUUGAGUGCGGGAGGGGAGAGUGGAACUUCUGGUGGAGCGGUGAAAUGCGUAGAUAUCAGAAGGAACGCCGGCGGCGAAAGCGGCUCUCUGGCCCAUAACUGACGCUGAGCGUGCGAAAGCUAGGGGAGCAAACGGGAUUAGAUACCCCGGUAGUCCUAGCCGUAAACGAUGGGCACUAAGUAGAGGGGUUUU
RNAcentral lists this ribosomal RNA (478 nucleotides) under uncultured Planctomycetales bacterium. RNAcentral describes it as "bacterial SSU rRNA". It matches the Rfam family "Bacterial small subunit ribosomal RNA", at positions 364 to 832 of the family's 1533-position model. The record is from RNAcentral. Lineage: Bacteria; Pseudomonadati; Planctomycetota; Planctomycetia; Planctomycetales.